CCCUUAGAUGUUCUGGGCCGCACGCGCGCUACACUGAUGCAUUCAACGAGUCUAAAACCUGCUCUGAUAGGGGUGGGUAAUCUUUUGAAUGUGCAUCGUGAUUGGGAUAGAUGAUUGCAAUUUUUCAUAUUCAACGAGGAAUGCCUAGUAAACGCAAGUCAUCAGCUUGCAUUGAUUACGUCCCUGCCCUUUGUACACACCGCCCGUCGCUCCUACCGAUUGAAUGAUCCGAUGAAUAUCAUGGAUUGAGGAUGCAAGUAGGUUCGCCUAUCUUCAUCUUCGAGAAGUGAAGUAAAUCUUAUCAUUUAGAGGAAGGAGAAGUCGUAACA
RNAcentral lists this ribosomal RNA (329 nucleotides) under uncultured eukaryote. RNAcentral describes it as "partial 18S ribosomal RNA". It matches the Rfam family "Eukaryotic small subunit ribosomal RNA", at positions 1470 to 1796 of the family's 1831-position model. The record is from RNAcentral.